AUGCCCCCCCCUUCCGUAACACUUUCCUGCAACAUCCACGUUGGGCGGGGAUCCUCCUCUUCCCGUCCUCCCCCCCCAAGAUACGCCGCAGAGCAGCAAUCCGGAGUGGACGCUCCACUUGCGGGAGAAGCAGGCAGGUUGGGAGGGGGGCUCCCCCCUUAUUUCCGGAGCGAAGCAGGAUUGGAGGAGGAGGAGGAGGAGGAGGAGGAGGAGGAGCAAUGUAUUGGGGGUGUGAUUUGGGAUUGUGUGGGCGGGAUGAGAGAAGGAUGUGCCGGGAGGGGAGGGAAAGUGUUGAGCGAGUGGGGGGGGAGAAGGAGAGGAAACCCCCCCCCCGGUCUUCCUUCUGGGGAUCAGGAGAGGGGGGAGGGGCUGAUCCCGACAAUCCAACAGCGAAGUCACAAAAUGAGUUCUGCAUUUAAAUCAGAUCAGACUCCGAGUUCGUGUUUUGGCAACAUGACAAGUCUGUCUGUCUGUCCGUCGGGAUGCCUGAGGAUUCCUGCUCGCUGCCUUUUCCUGGCCAGCCUGAGAGAUCACUGGAAAGGGAGGAUUUCUUGACUCCAGAAUCCAUCACAGCAGACCCCUUUCAUUCAGGCCUAGAGAUCUGCUCUUUGGACCAGUCUGCUUGGAUCAUGGGGAUCAUCAAUGGUUCAUAUGGAUCAUCCAUGAUGUCAUACCCAUCUCACGGAGGGGGGGGGGCUCAGGAUGAAUCUCCUGCCACGUGACUGGGGGAGUCUGGGGGCUGACGGGGGUCAGACAGGGCUGCUGUUUUGCUCUCCGUACUAUUUCAGCUCAGGUUUUACUGAAAUGGGUGGAUUCAUUGAGGAAACGGGGCUACGUUGCAAAGAGGCAAAUGUGUCUACUUUGUUACCACCCAGUGAGUUGUGUUGCAAAGGCCAUUUGCAGAAAGGCUCCUAUUGUAUCACCUGCAGCUACAUGCCGGAGUUUGGGUGUUUUGUGGAAAUGUGUCUCUAUAAAUGCACUUAUCCCCGUGCGUUUAUAAUGGCAAGACAUUAAAUCCCAUGAGAUGUGCAAACUGGCUGCUUUUGGAAGCACCACUCUGCAGCCCUGCCUGAUGCACGCUUACUUAGGAGUAACCCCUACGCGGUUCAUAGGGAUUCGCUGUUCCAUCUGAUGCACGCUUACUCAGAAGUAAGUCCCCAUAGUCGCCUUUGGCUGGACUUGACCAGGGGUCCUUUACCUUGGGUAACAGGGGCCAGGAGGGGCCAGCCCCAGUCCCUGCUGGCUGGUCACAUCUUCCACGCCAAGAAACUGGGCAGAGCCUUUAGGAGCCUCUGGCUGAACCUGCUGCUCUUCUCCCUGGCACCGCCAUCUCCACGCAGGUGCCCCCGAGGCAGGUUGGCCUGCAGUUCCCCUCAGUGCCAGCCAGCACGAUGCCUGCACUCAGAACACCUGGAGGGCACUGGCUGAAGUCUGGGAGCCCUCGGUGCCAAUGCGCAGCUGCUUUGCUUUUCCUUCGCCUGGCGGACAUCAACACAGCACCCUACAGGGGGGUGGUCUCCUGUUCAGAUGCCCUCCCUGGGGAAGAGUCUUUGGCCACAGGAAAGUGUGCCAGGAGGGGCCAUUGAGAGGGCAGUACAGCACAGCCCGUGGGGAGAGUGCCUUCCUUGGGUGGGGUGGGGGGAGCUUGGAUGGCCCCCUGCCUGUGAUGCUUAGCUGAGAUUACUACUAUGCUGGGGGUUCAACUAGAUGACUCAGGAGGGCCCUCCCUACUUUACAGUUCGAAGCCCCCACACUGCCCACUCCACACCACCCAGAUGGGACUCUCUUGUCCAACCCCACAAGGCCAUUCCUCUGUCUGGACGGGGAGGGGGAGAUAAGGUUCGCCAGCACUGCAGCCCCUAACUUUCAAGCUGGGGCAGAGAUGCAGAUGCUCCAGGGUCUGGGCUGGCCACAGGCCCCCAUGGGCGUGGAUGUUGAGCCUUUCUUUGGGAGGGGGGUGUUAUAGAAAAAUCUAGGUGCGAGGCUGCUCAGUCCCCCAGCUCGUCUGGCUGAGCCCUGCGGGUCCCAGCGGAAUAAAGGGAGGAGUCCAGCCAACCGGAGCAAAUAAAGAGAGAUUGCAAGGAGAGAGAUUGCAAGGAGCUCCAAAGGGACUUCUCCAAACGGGCUGAAUGGGCCGAAAAUACAGUUCAUUGUCAAGGAGAUUAAAGUGAUGC
Podarcis muralis (Common wall lizard) is the source of this 2174-nucleotide long non-coding RNA. Lineage: Eukaryota; Metazoa; Chordata; Lepidosauria; Squamata; Lacertidae. The record is from Ensembl.